Molecule: long non-coding RNA, 856 nt
Filed under: Marmota monax (woodchuck)
Lineage: Eukaryota; Metazoa; Chordata; Mammalia; Rodentia; Sciuridae
Source: RNAcentral
CAAGGUCCUGCUACAUUGCUGAGUCUUGCCAAAUUGCUGAGGCUGGCCUCAAACUUUUAAUCCAUUUAUUUCAGCCUCCUCAGUCAUUGAGAUUACAGGCAUACACCACCAUAUCAAAAGGAACUUUAAGUCAUUUCCAAAAGUCAAACUAAUAUAUUAUCACGUCUUUGAAUCAUUUCUCUUCUCCCCAAAUUGAUGUUUUUCAAGCAUUGCUUGAUGACCAAAGAACAUGUCAGUCUGUUUGGAAGGCUUUAAUGAUCUGACAAAUACUGUUAUUAUUUGGAAACAAUUUUUUCAUACUUCUUCCCAAACAGUGCACCUCAAAUGACAGCCUCUCAAUUGAUCUCAGUGUUAGGCAGUUUUUUAUCAUUAAUAUUUAUGUGUUUAUAUUUGAAUGUAAAUUUGAAAAUAAUCUCCAAUUUAAAUAUUUUAUGUAAAUAUAUAAGUAUAGAAAUUAGUUUUGACAUCAAAUCUGAAGACAAUUGCCAACUAUUAGCAAAUGGACAAAAAAAAAAACUCUUUUCGCUAGGAAUCAGGUUGCCAUUAUAUUCUUUUUUUUAUUAUCAAAUGACCUUGCAUGAAAACAGGAAGAGAAAGAUUUUUUUCUCCUUACUAAGCAAAACAGUUGUCCCAAUCUCUGCAAAAUAUUUUCCCUAUAUCUCUGACCCUUCCAGAAUAAAAGAAAUGAUAGCAUGUUUGCUCUUCCACUUCAGGAGGGAAAGAAACUGUAGGAAAAUUACUUUUUUUCCACUUGUGUGAUUUGAGAAAAAGCUACAACUCCAGCCUUUCAAUGUGCAAGGAAAACAAUACACACUUAUUAUACUGCUAUCUGUGGGACCCAAAUGUAUUAAGUUAG